Molecule: RNA transcript, 2822 nt
Organism: Mangifera indica (mango)
Lineage: Eukaryota; Viridiplantae; Streptophyta; Magnoliopsida; Sapindales; Anacardiaceae
Gene name: zinc finger BED domain-containing protein RICESLEEPER 2-like
Exons: 9
Source: RefSeq, a predicted model, not a curated record
CAAAGUCAAAUUAUACCAUUAUAUUAUAGGGUGUGUUUGUCAAGUUUUAAAACCUGUAGGAUUUGGAAAAGUUUACUAUCAUGCUUUUUACAGUUAAAGUUAACUGACGAAUGACAUGAAACCAAUUGACGGCUGAAAAAAAUUUUUGAACUUUAAAACAUUUCUUUUCGUGAAAGUUCGGGCGGGAAACAGUGCUUCAGCCUUUUUAAAAACGAGCGAACUGAGCUCGGAUCGGCUCGCGACGGUGAAGUAACAAAGAAAACUUCGCAGUUUUGGACUGGAGCCCUACUUAAGGCUCUCGUUUUGUGCAAGAUGGUUUUCAUCUCUCUCCAUGGCCGCAAAACCCUAAGCUCCUUCGUCUCGACUGUUCUCGCCGGAAAAACCCAAUAACUCCUUCUUUCUCGUCGUUUCUCGCCUUCAAAAAGUUCUUGGUCUCUCGCUCCUCGCCCGCAAAACCCAAGAUCUCCUUUAUAACCGUCAGAGAGAAGGAUCCAGGAUUAGUGUCUCGGUUUCUUGUUUGUACAUUCUGUAGAUUUGGGAUGGAUUCACAUGGGACUGUCAAUUGAGAGGCUGAAUUCCAGUCCCCUAAUUAAGAAUUCUGAGUCAGUGAUUGAUUGAAUGAGAUAAUGAAUAAGAGAAAGAAGCUGCCAACAAGUCUACUGCAACCUUCAACUUCAACUCCUACAGCUGGAAGCAAUCAUGUACCAAUAGAAAUUGAUUAUGAUACGUCAACCAAUAGUUUUAAUGAGCCUAGUGAAGCAUUAGAGCUGGACAAGGUUAGAGAGGCUUUGGCACAUAUGAUUUUAAUGGAUGAGCUACCAUUGACAAUAGUGGAAAGUGAUAGCUUCAAUUCUUUUGUACAAGUUCUUCAGCCGUUUUAUAAAAGAAGUGGAGUAGAGCAAGUGAAGGAAGCUUGUGAACGAAUUUUUGAGGCAGAAAGAAGAAAAUUAAAAACAAUUUUUGCAAAUGUCCCAAGGAUCAAUGUGACUACUGAUCUUUGGAAGUCAGAAGUCCAAGAUAUUGAGUACAUGGAAAUCACUGCUCAUUGGGUGGAUCAUAAUUGGUCUUUGCAGAAAAGAGUAAUCAAUUUUGUCCAUCUUCCUCCUCCAAGAAGAGGAGUAGACAUUGCAUAUACGAUGAUUAAUUGUUUCAAGGACUGGGGAAUUGAAGCCAAGGUUUGUGCUAUAACAGUGGACAAUUCAACAAUCAAUGAUGCUUGUCUUGUCAUUCUCAAAGAAGAUUUUGAGGUUCAAAGGAGAUUGUUGUGUGAUGGAAAACUUUUCCAUGUUAGGUGCAUUGCACAUUUUGUUAAUCUGUUAGUUGAGGAAGGGGUUGAGCAAAUUAAGGAAGUGAUAGAGACUAUUAGGGAGAGUGUGAAAUAUAUUAGUUAUUGUGAUGUAAGGCAGAAAAUCUUUUGUAAGAUUGCGCGAAAAUUGGGCAUUAAGGAAAGGAAGCUAAUCUUAGAUUGCCCCACCGUGUGGAAUAGCACAUAUAGGAUGCUUAGUGUGGCUUUGAGGUUUAAAGAUGUGUUUCCUAGGUACCAAAAGAGAGAUCAUAAUUAUAGUUACUGUCCAAGUGUGGAAGAAUGGGAAAAAGUAGCAAUUGUUUGUGAUUUUUUCCAGAUUUUUCAUGAUGUUAGCAAUAUGGUUUCAAGAUCAGAGAACCCCACAUCAAACUUAUACUUUAUUGAAGUUUUUAGGAUUAAGGAAAUUCUACAAGAAAGGGAGUUUGAUCCUAAUCCAUUUGUUCAGAAUAUGAUUAGCAAAAUGAGAUCUAAGUUUGAUAAGUAUUGGGGGGAGGUGAAUUUACUAAUGGCAUUAGCAAGUACUUUGGAUCCAAGGAUCAAGUUUAGGUUGAUUGAGUUUGUUUUUCCCAUUUUAUAUGGUGAUAUAAAAGCCAAGGAGGAGAUACAAAAUGUGAAGAAGACUCUUGAAACAUUAUAUGGUCAAUAUAUGGCACUUAUUCCAUCGGACAAUGAAAGCAAUGUACAAACACACCAAUCUAGUGAAUCAGACAAUGCAUCUAGCUCUCAUACUAGUCAUAGUGACUCAUUGUCAAAUGAAGGCUGGCAAAGAUUAAAAGAGCACAUUAAGAAGGUAGAAUAUGAACCAACUGUAAAGUCAGAGCUAGAUGUUUACCUUGAAGAAGGUUGCAUGAAGAUUGAUGAGGGAACAAGACCAUCAGAUUUUGAUGCUCUUAAAUGGUGGAGGGACAAUCAAUUGAAGUACAAAGUGCUCUCUCAAAUGGCUGCUGAAAUCUUAGCAAUUCCUGUCUCUUCUGUAGCUCCAGAGGAAGCAUUUAGAGUUGGUUCAAGAGUAAUUGACUGUUAUUGGGAAACUCUGGAUCCAGAAACUGUCAAUAUGCUUCUUUGUGGAGGAGAUUGGAUUAGGGCAAUGCAUGGAGUGAAAAAACCCCAAAAGGUUGAUGAUAGUGAAAUUGAGAUUUCAUGUCCAAUAAAAUGAAUAAGUUGCUGUUGUAAGGUGAUGAAUCUGGAGUGAUGCACGUAAGGUGAUGAAUCUGCUGUUGCGAGGAGUUCAGAAGGUAAAGCUAGGAUUUGGCAUGUGUUUUUCGAAAGUGACCGGGUAAUUUUCAUAUAGUCAGUAUCUGUAGCUUCUGUUUUUUUGUAUCAAUGUAAAAAAUGGAGCAACUGCUUUGCACUUGAAUGGUCUGUGCUGGAUCCAUAUGUUUUGUGAAAGAAGAAAGGCAUGCUUUUAUGCUGCCUUUGUUCUUCCAAGGAAUUCAGCUAUCUACUAACUUGGGUUUGCGCUUAGAAUUUACAUUUUGAUCUUUUUAUGAUGAAUGAAGCUUUUGUUUUUUCUCAA